This 376-nucleotide ribosomal RNA is filed under the name uncultured bacterium. RNAcentral describes it as "bacterial SSU rRNA". It matches the Rfam family "Bacterial small subunit ribosomal RNA", at positions 524 to 898 of the family's 1533-position model. The record is from RNAcentral.
UACGUAGGUGGCGAGCGUUGUCCGGAAUUAUUGGGCGUAAAGAGCGCGUAGGCGGCUUGUCAGGUCCAACGUGAAAUCCCGGGGCUCAACCCCGGACGUGCGUCGGAAACCGGCUUGCUAGAGUCUGGGAGAGGGAAGUGGAAUUCCUGGUGUAGCGGUGAAAUGCGCAGAUAUCAGGAGGAACACCGGUAGCGAAGGCUGCUUCCUGGAACAGUGCUGACGCUGAGGCGCGAAAGCUAGGGGAGCAAACAGGAUUAGAUACCCUGGUAGUCCUAGCCGUAAACGAUGGACACUAGGUGUCGGGAGUGUCGACUCUCCCGGUGCCGAAGCUAACGCAUUAAGUGUCCCGCCUGGGGAGUACGGCCGCAAGGUUAAA